UACGUAGGGUGCAAGCGUUAAUCGGAAUUACUGGGCGUAAAGCGUGCGCAGGCGGUGAUGUAAGACAGAUGUGAAAUCCCCGGGCUCAACCUGGGAACUGCAUUUGUGACUGCAUCGCUGGAGUGCGGCAGAGGGGGAUGGAAUUCCGCGUGUAGCAGUGAAAUGCGUAGAUAUGCGGAGGAACACCGAUGACGAAGGCAAUCCCCUGGGCCUGCACUGACGCUCAUGCACGAAAGCGUGGGGAGCAAACAGG
RNAcentral lists this ribosomal RNA (253 nucleotides) under uncultured bacterium. RNAcentral's name for it is "partial 16S ribosomal RNA". It matches the Rfam family "Bacterial small subunit ribosomal RNA", at positions 524 to 776 of the family's 1533-position model. The record is from RNAcentral.